AAAAGAAUAUUUAAGUUGUUUUUUGUUCUUCUCUGUGUAAGUUGCUUCUGGGUGGACUGCUGGAGCAGAGGACAUUGGUGACUUUAAGUCUGAUUUUAUUGGCUACA
Non-coding RNA from Notechis scutatus (mainland tiger snake), 107 nucleotides. The record is from RefSeq and is a predicted model, not a curated record. NCBI's taxonomy places the organism in Eukaryota, Metazoa, Chordata, Lepidosauria, Squamata, Elapidae.